UACAGAGGGUGCAAGCGUUAAUCGGAAUUGCUGGGCGCAAAGCGUGCGCAGGUGGUUUUGUAAGCCAGAUGUGAGAUCCCCGGGCUCAACCUGGGAAUGGCAUUUGGGACUGCAAGGCUAGAGUGUGGCAGAGGGGGGUGGAAUUCCGCGUGUAGCAGUGAAAUGCGUAGAGAUGCGGAGGAACACCGAUGGCGAAGGCAAUCCCCUGGGCCUGUACUGACGCUCAUGCACGAAAGCGUGGGGAGCAAACAGG
RNAcentral lists this ribosomal RNA (253 nucleotides) under uncultured bacterium. RNAcentral describes it as "partial 16S ribosomal RNA". It matches the Rfam family "Bacterial small subunit ribosomal RNA", at positions 524 to 776 of the family's 1533-position model. The record is from RNAcentral.